Long non-coding RNA from Lotus japonicus, 2335 nucleotides. RefSeq lists it as uncharacterized. The transcript has 5 exons. The record is from RefSeq and is a predicted model, not a curated record. Lineage: Eukaryota; Viridiplantae; Streptophyta; Magnoliopsida; Fabales; Fabaceae.
UCUCCCAAACCAUUGAGCAGCCGCUGCUGCUGUUGUUCAAAAGACAGGAAACCAACAAGGAAGAACAUCAAGCAUUUGGAUGCCGCAUCGACAAAGGCUUGGAUUAAUUAGCCACUGGAAUGACUUCUGUGCUUCUAGAUAGAUUCACGUGAAUGGCAAUGGCAGAGAUCUGAGUGGAAAUAGGAGUUCCUGGAAAUUUUGCCUUUUUUCUCUUUUGAGAGAUAACUGUGCUAUACUUCAAACUAGCUUGUUUACUGUGUGUCCAGCUUUUUGUGAAACUGUUUUUUAUCCUUUGUUAGGUUGUUAAUAAGCACAGGGGUUUAAGGUUUUCAAAAUUUCCAUCAAUCCCAACAUAAAUAACAGUACAAACAGUUUUUAUUUUAGCUUGGAGCACAUUUUGUUAUAGUGAAUUAGGCUAGCUAAUGAACUGCAGAAUGGUAUGUUCUUGCAUUAUGAUGUCUUUUCAACUUGUGUGAACUCUUAUUCCUUGUCCCUGCUCUCUUUCUCUCCAUAAGAUUUCAAAUAAAGGAGCCCAUUGUCUUGGUGGGCACUUAGGCGAUAUAUACACUUUUGAAGCAAUGGUUGCAAUUUCUAAUUUCAUUCUGUUUGAUCAUGAAUUUGUAACUUCCUUUUACAUUUCCAGGUUACAAUAUCUUCUUUCAAGUGCAGGUUUAAGUGCAAAUCACACUAUGUAUAUAACUGUUUGAUUUAGUUCUUCAAUCUGAAUUGUGAAAGAAAAAAUAUAGAUCAUAUGGAUAUCUAAUAUCUAUCGAUGUGUUGUUCCUAAAAUGUAUCUCUGAGAAUUUAUGAUACCACUGCAACAAUUAGAAAGCUUAUCAAAAGUUAUUAAUUUCUACUUGAUGUAUGAUUCUUUGAACAUCUAGCUUACAUUUCAGUGGAGUUUUUUUAAAAAUAGUGCAAGUAACCUCAAUCAUCUAUUGUAUAGGAAUUUCUGACCAUAUAUAACUUGUUUGCUUAAAUUGUGUAUAGAAAAUGAUUUUACUUCUAUUAUAAAGAAUGUGAGUGUGUCUGUGUGUGUGUGUAUGUGAGAGAGAGAGGCUCUUUGAAUGGUCUUUGAAUUCUUUAUCUGAAAUUUGGUUUCUCAGACGCAAAUCGGGUUGAAUCGCAUGAUGUUUAUCUUUUCCUGAUACCUAUAAGCCUUUAUAUGAGAAUAUUAUUAAGAAUUGGGUGAGAAAUUAUAUAGAAGAUGAAUAAUAAAAUGAUUAGAGGUCCUCGUGAAUAUUAUUAAGAGUUGGAUGCGUUUAUGGAACAGUGGCAGGCAUGUGGGGCUUCUAGAAAGGAAGAAAACAUUUAGUGCGUGGAAGGGACUGUGGGCAGUGUGGAAUCCUUACUGUUUGGUCUGGUUUGCUUGCACAGGAUAAGAUCCAGCAUAGGAGAGUAUUUAUUGGCUUCAACUUUGACUCUGGUAUUCUCAAUUGGCAUCUCUUGAUGGGUCUACUGCAUAAUGAAGGAAGUGAGUUGCUGGGCAGCUGUCUCAAUUUCGUGGGGUUGGGAACUUAAUCUCUUGGGCUUGCUUUGUGGAUUCCUCUCCAAUUUGAGGGGAACUGAAGGUGAACAAUGACUACUUCAGAGGAUCAUGAUUGUUUAUUUGUUAGGAACUGAAGGUGAACAAUGACUACUUCAGAGGAUCCACUGUCAGUUCUCUGAUCAAUUGCUUGGAGGAGCUCAAUCUCUGUUUAUGUAGUUAAGAAGACACUUGGGCAGUGACACUGCUCUGGUUUCUCUGAUUAUUAUGUUGGUUUUGAUGGGGAUUUAUGAUAUUGAAGAACAAGUAUUUGAGGAGAUAAGGAGAUUGCUGUCUAUUAUGGAAAUCUAUGAGUGGCAAGUGGUGGACUUGGAUUGAAGGUUUUGCAUAAUUCAACUUUUAUGUAGGGAAGAUAAAGUCUAUAGUCACAACGACUGUCAUGACAUCGUGUAUCAAUCGAAAGAGAGAAAUCAUUGCAGUAGUGUGGAUGUUAGGGAAAGAGGGAAAAGAUUAUAUAUGCAACAUGAAGAGACUUGAAGGGAUCUUUUUAUAUAAUUUGUCUUUUUAAGAUAAUGAAUUCCUUUUAUGUCACUUCUCCUUAAGUGUAUGUUACUACUUUUUUAUGUUGGUUAUAUUAUUUCAAGAUUUUGUUUGAAAAACAUAUUAUAGAAGAUCAGUGGAAGGUAGUUUAUGCACUACUGCUGAGGUGUUUUUGUAAAUUUUAUAUAUAUUGCACAACAGCAGCUUUAUGUUCAAUUAGGUCUUAUAUUGCGAUCAUAUCUGCAACUAUAAUAGAUGUAUUAGUUCUGUCUUGUGAAAAUAAAUGAGUUUCAUGCUUCUACAAGAUAA